This is a non-coding RNA of Eptesicus fuscus (big brown bat), 125 nucleotides long. RefSeq annotates it as microRNA mir-9186h-2. Lineage: Eukaryota; Metazoa; Chordata; Mammalia; Chiroptera; Vespertilionidae. The record is from RefSeq and is marked provisional.
UGUGUUAAUUACCUUGUUUGUAGGGGGAGGUUGGCUGCAUCACUGGUACUGAGGUAAUGGCUGUCCCCAAUACCAGACAUGCAGCCCACCUGCCCAUACAAAAGCCCAGCACACCACGUGAUGUC